This 200-nucleotide ribosomal RNA is filed under the name Gymnodinium catenatum. RNAcentral describes it as "partial Bacterial large subunit ribosomal RNA". It matches the Rfam family "Bacterial large subunit ribosomal RNA", at positions 778 to 976 of the family's 2925-position model. Lineage: Eukaryota; Dinophyceae; Gymnodiniales; Gymnodiniaceae. The record is from RNAcentral.
ACCCACAUCUGUUGAAAAAGAUCGGGAUGAGCUGUGCCUAGGGGUGAAAGGCCAAUCAAACUCGGAGAUAGCUGGUUCUCUGCGAAAUCUAUUUAGGUAGAGCGUCAUCCGAAUACCCCCGGGGGUAGAGCACUGGAUGGGUAAUGGGGCCCCACAGGCUUACUGAUCCUAACCAAACUCCGAAUACCGGGGAGUACUAG